This 292-nucleotide ribosomal RNA is filed under the name uncultured Acidobacteriota bacterium. RNAcentral describes it as "uncultured Acidobacteria bacterium partial 16S ribosomal RNA". The record is from RNAcentral. Lineage: Bacteria; Pseudomonadati; Acidobacteriota.
GGACUACAAGGGUAUCUAAUCCUGUUUGCUACCCACGCUUUCGUGUCUCAGCGUCAGUCGUGGUCCAGUAAGCUGUCUACACCACAGGUGUUCCUCCUGAUAUCUACGCAUUUCACCGCUACACCAGGAAUUCCGCUUACCUCUCCCACACUCUAGCACUCCAGUCUCCGAUGCAGCCUCCCAGUUGAGCCGGGAGAUUUCACACCAGACUUAGAACACCGCCUACACACUCUUUACGCCCAGUAAUUCCGAACAACGCUUGCUGCCUACGUAUUACCGCGGCUGCUGGCAC